AUUGAACGCUGGCGGAAUGCUUUACACAUGCAAGUCGAACGGCAGCACGGACUUCGGUCUGGUGGCGAGUGGCGAACGGGUGAGUAAUGUAUCGGAACGUGCCCAGUCGUGGGGGAUAACGUAGUGAAAAUUACGCUAAUACCGCAUACGAUCUAUGGAUGAAAGCGGGGGAUCGCAAGACCUCGCGCGAUUGGAGCGGCCGAUAUCAGAGUAGGUAGUUGGUGGGGUAAAGGCCCACCAAGCCAACGAUCUGUAGCUGGUCUGAGAGGACGACCAGCCACACUGGAACUGAGACACGGUCCAGACUCCUACGGGAGGUAGCAGUGGGGAAUUUUGGACAAUGGGCGAAAGCCUGAUCCAGCCAUUCCGCGUGCAGGAUGAAGGCCCUCGGGUUGCAAACUGCUUUUGUACAGAACGAAAAGGUUUCUACUAAUACUAGGAGCUCAUGACGGUACUGUAAGAAUAAGCACCGGCUAACUACGUGCCAGCCGCCGCGGUAA
Molecule: ribosomal RNA, 500 nt
Filed under: uncultured bacterium
Lineage: Bacteria
Description: partial 16S ribosomal RNA
Rfam family: Bacterial small subunit ribosomal RNA
Source: RNAcentral